Bombyx mori (domestic silkworm) is the source of this 1529-nucleotide long non-coding RNA. RefSeq lists it as uncharacterized. NCBI's taxonomy places the organism in Eukaryota, Metazoa, Arthropoda, Insecta, Lepidoptera, Bombycidae. The record is from RefSeq and is a predicted model, not a curated record. The transcript is spliced from 5 exons.
CCACUUUCAAAAUAAAGGUUAGGAAGCAAAAAUCAAAACAGAAAAUAUAAGUUAGAUAAGGUUUAGGCAGGAAAAUUGGAUUAGGAUUAAUAUAAUUAGGAAGAAUAAAUAAUAUAUAUAAUUAUAAUUUUAGGUUAAAACUGUUGAGGAAUAAGAUAAUAAUUUUAUAAAUAACUGGGUCUACUGUAUGUAAUAAAUAAGGUACAGAUAUAGGAAAAGGAAUACUAAGUGAUGAUAAAGAACUAUAAAGAAGUGAAUGGUCAAAAAGGGGACAUGAAAGAAUAAUGUGAUUUAAAUCGCCAAUGUCCGCACCGCAUUCACACUUACUGCUAUCCAGCACUCCGAUCGUCGCUAGAUGUGCCGGACUACACGUGUGGCCUAAUCUCAUCCGUAUCAAACUGGAAGUCUCGUGGCGUUUAAAAUUAUAUUUGUAGAACCAUGGUUUGGAAGGAAUGGUUUCUACAGUCUAAGAGAAUAGGGUAAAUCGGUUGAGAUUUAAAAGGAAAUUUUGCAAGAGCCUGUAAAGCACUCUUUGAAUCGGGAUUUGAAAACGAAUUUAUCAGAUAAAUAUUGACGUCUCAAAUGAAGAGGAGGAUCAACACAUUCUACCUGUAAUGCUGUAACAGGACUAGAUUUCAUGGCUCCAGUGAUAAUUCUGAGUGAUUUAGACUGUAUAGUGUCUAGUUUUUUGAAAGCAUUCACAUCCCCUGGUUGAAGUAAAAAAGUACCAUAAUCUAAAACUGAUCUUACUAUGGCAUUAUAUAAAAGUUUUAAAUUGAAUGGGUGGGCACCCCACCAUACACCAGCAAGAGAACAAAUUAAUUCAUUCUCAUACAAUAUACUAAUUGGAGGAAGAGAACGUUUUCUAGAGAAUACAACAAUAGAACUUUUGGAGGCAGAAAGGGAAAGUCCAUUAUUAUCUAACCAAGAUUUAAGAGUUAGAAAUGAAUUCCUAAGGGAUAAGCAAGCCUUAUGUAUGUCUUUAUUGCAAGUGUACAUAAGGAGGUCAUCAGCAUAUUGAAGAAUUUUUACUUGAUUUCCAAGGGUCUCUUCCAAAUCACAAGUGUAUAUAUUGUAUAAAAUUGGACUUAACACAGAUCCUUGAGGAAGACCUCUCCAUAAAGUUCUAGAUUGUUGUGAAUCUGAAGAGAUGAGAGAGCUAUGGGUCUGUAUGACAAUACAUCUGAUGAAGAUUUACCCGGUUUGAGAAUGGGUAAAAUAAUUUGUUUUUUCCAUGACUCUGGGAUAACACAUGUAAUGAACAUAGAAUUUAUAAGGUUGAGGUAAUAUGUGAGACUAGAAUCACUCAAAUGGACAAAGAAAGAAUAAGGAAUCUUAUCAUCACCUGGAGCAGAGUCCUUAAGAUUCGAGAUUACCCCCUUCAGUUCAUUAAAUGAAAAAGGUAAAUCAAAAUCUGAAACUGGAUCUGAACAUGAGAAAGGAAGGACAGACGGGAUAAGAACUAAACAUUCUUCUGGAACAUAAGGGGGAGCUAAUUUAUCAAGAAACUUGUCAGCCAGAUCAUAAGG